ACGCUGGCGGCAGGCCUAACACGUGCAAGUCGAGCGGUAGAGAGAAGCUUGCUUCUCUUGAGAGCGGCGGACGGGUGAGUAAUGCCUAGGAAUCUGCCUGGUAGUGGGGGAUAACGUUCGGAAACGGACGCUAAUACCGCAUACGUCCUACGGGAGAAAGCAGGGGACCUUCGGGCCUUGCGCUAUCAGAUGAGCCUAGGUCGGAUUAGCUAGUUGGUGGGGUAAUGGCUCACCAAGGCGACGAUCCGUAACUGGUCUGAGAGGAUGAUCAGUCACACUGGAACUGAGACACGGUCCAGACUCCUACGGGAGGCAGCAGUGGGGAAUAUUGGACAAUGGGCGAAAGCCUGAUCCAGCCAUGCCGCGUGUGUGAAGAAGGUCUUCGGAUUGUAAAGCACUUUAAGUUGGGAGGAAGGGUUGUAGAUUAAUACUCUGCAAUUUUGACGUUACCGACAGAAUAAGCACCGGCUAACUCUGUGCCAGCAGCCGCGGUAAUACAGAGGGUGCAAGCGUUAAUCGGAAUUACUGGGCGUAAAGCGCGCGUAGGUGGUUAGUUAAGUUGGAUGUGAAAUCCCCGGGCUCAACCUGGGAACUGCAUUCAAAACUGACUGACUAGAGUAUGGUAGAGGGUGGUGGAAUUUCCUGUGUAGCGGUGAAAUGCGUAGAUAUAGGAAGGAACACCAGUGGCGAAGGCGACCACCUGGACUGAUACUGACACUGAGGUGCGAAAGCGUGGGGAGCAAAC
RNAcentral lists this ribosomal RNA (745 nucleotides) under uncultured bacterium. Its description in RNAcentral is "bacterial SSU rRNA". It matches the Rfam family "Bacterial small subunit ribosomal RNA", at positions 33 to 773 of the family's 1533-position model. The record is from RNAcentral.